GGGAUACAACUCCCAAACCCCUGUGAACAUACCACUUGUUGCCUCGGCGGAUCAGCCCGCUCCCGGUAAAACGGGACGGCCCGCCAGAGGACCCCUAAACUCUGUUUCUAUAUGUAACUUCUGAGUAAAACCAUAAAUAAAUCAAAACUUUCAACAACGGAUCUCUUGGUUCUGGCAUCGAUGAAGAACGCAGCAAAAUGCGAUAAGUAAUGUGAAUUGCAGAAUUCAGUGAAUCAUCGAAUCUUUGAACGCACAUUGCGCCCGCCAGUAUUCUGGCGGGCAUGCCUGUUCGAGCGUCAUUUCAACCCUCAAGCACAGCUUGGUGUUGGGACUCGCGUUAAUUCGCGUUCCCCAAAUUGAUUGGCGGUCACGUCGAGCUUCCAUAGCGUAGUAGUAAAACCCUCGUUACUGGUAAUCGUCGCGGCCACGCCGUUAAACCCCAACUUCUGAAUGUUGACCUCGGAUCAGGUAGGAAUACCCGCUGAACUUAAGCAUAUCAAUAAGCGGAGGAAAAGAAACCAACAGGGAUUGCCCUAGUAACGGCGAGUGAAGCGGCAACAGCUCAAAUUUGAAAUCUGGCUCUCGGGCCCGAGUUGUAAUUUGUAGAGGAUACUUUUGAUGCGGUGCCUUCCGAGUUCCCUGGAACGGGACGCCAUAAGGGUGAGAGCCCCGUCUGGUU
Molecule: ribosomal RNA, 679 nt
Filed under: Fusarium sp. 3 RIRM-2011
Lineage: Eukaryota; Fungi; Ascomycota; Sordariomycetes; Hypocreales; Nectriaceae
Description: eukaryotic LSU rRNA
Rfam family: Eukaryotic large subunit ribosomal RNA (bases 455-679)
Source: RNAcentral